This 1291-nucleotide ribosomal RNA is filed under the name Metopograpsus quadridentatus. Its description in RNAcentral is "16S ribosomal RNA". The stretch from base 823 to 1231 matches the Rfam family "Bacterial large subunit ribosomal RNA", at positions 2049 to 2651 of the family's 2925-position model. Lineage: Eukaryota; Metazoa; Arthropoda; Malacostraca; Decapoda; Grapsidae. The record is from RNAcentral.
UUUAGAGGUAAGAAAAAUAAUUUUUUUAAGUGUUAGCUUAGUAAUAUGUAAUAAAAAGAAAAAAGAUAACUAUAGAGUAAAAGUACUGUGAAGGAAAGAUAGAAUAAUAAUAGUAGUAAAAAUAAAAGUUUGUACCUUGUGUAUCAGGGAAAAUCAAUAUAAAUUAAAGUUAUAGUAAUCCCGAAAUAAAAAUAGCUAAUUUUAUAAAAAGUUAUUGUAGGAAUAAUAUUUUGAAUGUAAAAUUAAAGGUGAAAUACUAAACGAGUUUUAUUAUAUCUGGUUUCUUAAAAAUUAAAUUUAAUUUAGCUUUUAUAGUAAUAUUAUGUAAAAGUAGAAUGUAGGAGGGAUAAGCUUCUUAUAUAGGUUAAUAAAGAGUUAAGUUAUAAAUGUUUUAUAAAAUUAGGCUUAAAAAUAGCCAUAUUAAUAAAGUGUUUUAAUUAAAUAAAAAAAAUGAAAUAUAAUUUAUAAAAACUUUAAGUGGUAUUAAGAGUUUCAUAGAAUCGGAAAUAGUGAAGAUAUAAUGAUUUUAUUAGUAAAAAGUAGUGUAAUUAUAGUAAAUAGUGAAAUAAAGUAAUGUUAAGAUGUAUUAAAUUUGAAGUAUUAUAAAGGAACUCGGCAAAUAUUUUUCUUUGCCUGUUUAUCAAAAACAUGUCUAUUUGUGGAUAUAAAUGGUCUAGUCUGCCCACUGAUAAAAUAAGUUUAAAGGGCCGCGGUAUUUUGACCGUGCAAAGGUAGCAUAAUCACUAGUUUUUUAAUUGGAAUCUCGUAUGAAUGGCUGGACAAAAGAAAGUCUGUCUCUAUAAUAAUUAUUGAAUUUAACUUUUAAGUGAAAAGGCUUAAAUGAUUUGAAAAGACGAUAAGACCCUAUAAAGCUUGAUAUAAGUUGUAUAUUAUUAUAGAAUUUUAUAAUUUAUAAAGAUAUAUUGUGCAGUUUUUAUUUUAUUGGGGCGAUAGAGGUAGAAUUUUUAAUAACUGCUUAGACUUUAUGACAGUAUAAGUGAUUAGUUUGUAAAAGAUCCUAAAUAAAGAUUAAAAGGUUAAGUUACUUUAGGGAUAACAGCGUAAUUCUUUUUGAGAGUUCUUAUCGAAAGAAGAGUUUGCGACCUCGAUGUUGAAUUAAAAGUUCUUUACAAUUGUAGGAGUUGUAAAAGAAGGUCUGUUCGACCUUUAAAUUUUUACAUGAUUUGAGUUCAGACCGGCGUGAGCCAGGUCGGUUUCUAUCUUUCAGAGUUAUAAAAAUUACUUUAGUACGAAAGGAUUAGGUAAUUUAAAUUGUUUAAGGAUUGGUAAU